RNAcentral lists this ribosomal RNA (253 nucleotides) under uncultured bacterium. Its description in RNAcentral is "partial 16S ribosomal RNA". It matches the Rfam family "Bacterial small subunit ribosomal RNA", at positions 524 to 776 of the family's 1533-position model. The record is from RNAcentral.
UACAGAGGGUGCGAGCGUUAAUCGGAAUUACUGGGCGUAAAGCGUGCGUAGGCGGUCGUGUAAGUCGGGUGUGAAAGCCCCGGGCUCAACCUGGGAAUUGCAUUCGAGACUGCACGGCUGGAGUGCGGAAGAGGGAAGCGGAAUUUCCGGUGUAGCGGUGAAAUGCGUAGAUAUCGGAAGGAACAUCAGUGGCGAAAGCGGCUUUCUGGUCCAGCACUGACGCUCAGGCACGAAAGCGUCGGGAGCAAACAGG